RNAcentral lists this ribosomal RNA (1092 nucleotides) under Triticum aestivum (bread wheat). Its description in RNAcentral is "partial small subunit ribosomal RNA". Lineage: Eukaryota; Viridiplantae; Streptophyta; Magnoliopsida; Poales; Poaceae. The record is from RNAcentral.
AUGUGGUGGAGGGCGGUGGCCAGGGCUCGCCGCCGGAUCCCGGGAGCGCGGCCCGUGUCGACGGCGGCGGCGGGGAAGAGCGGCCGCGAGGUGGUGGUGCCGCGGUUCGGCGGGCCGGAGGUGCUGCAGCUGAGGCAGGGGGUGCCCGCGCCCGAUCUGAAGCCCGGCGAGGUGCUUGUGCGCGCGCGCGCCGUCUCCAUCAACCCCCUCGACUUGCGAAUGCGGGCUGGCUAUGGCCGUUGCAUAUUCGAGCCACUCCUACCUCUCAUCAUUGGCCGGGACAUCAGUGGUGAAGUCGCAGCUACAGGGACUUCUGUGUCGUCAUUCUAUAUUGGGCAAGAAGUGUUUGGUGCCUUGCAUCCAACAGCGAUUAGAGGGACAUGUGCUGAUUAUGCAGUUCUUUCACAGGAUGAGCUUACUUCUAAACCAUCUACGCUCACUCAUGUGGAGGCCAGUGCAAUUCCCUUUGCUGCGUUGACUGCGUGGCGUGCUUUAUAUGGUACUGCUGGAAUUUCUAAAGGACAAAGAUUACUUGUGCUUGGUGGAGGAGGAGCAGUUGGGCUUUCUGCUGUUCAGCUUGCGGUAGCUGCAGGGUGUAGUGUUUCAGCUACCUGUGGAGCCCAAAGUAUUGAGCAAGUUUUGGCAGCCGGUGCUGAAAAGGCUAUUGAUUACGCCACUGAGGAUACUGAAUCAACAGUUACAGGAAAGUUUGAUGCUGUGUUAGACACAAUAGGAGUAGCUGAAACUGAAAGAAUUGGUAUUAAUCUUCUGAGAAGAGGCGGACAUUAUAUGACCCUUCAGGGAGAGGCAGCUUCACUAGCAGAUAGAUAUGGAUUAUAUGUGGGACUUCCUGCUGCUACCGCUACUUUACUGAAGAAACAGAUGCAGUAUCGUUGUUCUCAUGGGAUAGAGUACUGGUGGACAUACAUGAGAGCUGAUCCUGACGGUCUCCAUGAGAUCCAGAGGCUGUCCGGAGCUGGAAAACUACAGAUACCUGUGGAGAAGACUUUUCCUAUCAGCCAAGUAAGAGAAGCUCAUGAGGCCAAGGAGAAAAGACUGGUGCCUGGCAAGGUGGUUCUAGAGUUCGACUAG